This is a long non-coding RNA of Cavia porcellus (domestic guinea pig), 1366 nucleotides long. RefSeq lists it as uncharacterized. The transcript is spliced from 3 exons. NCBI's taxonomy places the organism in Eukaryota, Metazoa, Chordata, Mammalia, Rodentia, Caviidae. The record is from RefSeq and is a predicted model, not a curated record.
AGGCUCCCAGGAAGGUCCUGUGAACAAUCCCAGUACCAGUGACAGCAGGCAGGAGGCGCUCCACAAAGCCCCAAAGAAGAAGAGCAUCAAGUCCUCCACUGGUCGUUUGUUUGGCAAAAAGAAUAAGGUUCUGCCUGGACAAACUGGCAAAGAAUCACCAAGACAAGGUGGGCCGGUUUUAGGCAGCUGUCCUAACUGCUGGGAUUGGGAGAGCCUGAGAUUUUUCCUAUGUGCCUGCUGCAGGUGUCCAGUGCCCAUGAGGAGUCAUGGCUGAGCGUUCUUCUGACAGCCCAGUUUGCCCACAUGUGAAACAAAGCAGAGCAGUGGAAAUUCAUUUGGCUUGAAUGAAUAACCCUCUCAUAUGCUAAUUUAUACGCUUGAACAUUUAUAUGUGUUUGCUCAGAAGCUUACACUUCAGAAAUGAUUCAGCUCUCUACCUGCAGAAUCUUCUUCCUAUUUGUGAAACAUAUAACUUUGCCAUGUUAAUUUACUCUAACUUUGGGGAAUUUUCUUCUUUUUUGUAGCUGUUGUUUCUGAAACAGAAAACUCAUCUCAGGAUGCCUUCCAACUUAGCAAACUGGGAGGAAAGGAUGAAAAAAAUCGUCAACUUCAAAAACACUCAACAGGCUCCCAGGAAGGUCCUGUGAACAAUCCCAGUACCAGUGACGGCAGGCAGGACGCGCUCCACAAAGCCCCAAAGAAGAAGAGCAUCAAGUCCUCCACUGGUCGUUUGUUUGGCAAAAAGAAUAAGGUUCUGCCUGGAGAAACUGGCAAAGAAUCACCAAGACAAGGUGGGCCGGUUUUAGGCAGCUGUCCUAACUGCUGGGAUUGGGAGAGCCUGAGAUUUUUCCUAUGUGCCUGCUGCAGGUGUCCAGUGCCCAUGAGGAGUCAUGGCUGAGCGUUCUUCUGACAGCCCAGUUUGCCCACAUGUGAAACAAAGCAGAGCAGUGGACAUUCAUUUGGCUUGAAUGAAUAACCCUCUUAUGUGCUAAUUUAUACUCUUGAAGAUUUAUAUGUGUUUGCUCGGAAGCUUACCCUUCAGAAAUGAUUCAGCUCUCUACCUGCAGUAUCUUCUUCCUAUUUGUGAAACAUAUAACUUUGCCCUGUUAAUUUACUCUAAAUUUGGGGGCUUUUCUUCUUUUUUGUAGCUGUUGUUUCUGAAACAGAAAACUCAUCUCAGGAUGCCUUCCAACUUAGCAAACUGGGAGGAAAGGAUGAAAAAAAUCAUCAACUUCAAAAACACUCAAUAGGCUCCCAGGAUGUUCCUGUGAGCAUUCCCAGCAGCAGUGACAGCAGGGAGGACCCACUCCACAAAGCUCUAAAGAAGAAGAGCAUCAAGUCCUCCACUGGUCGUUUGUUUGCCAAA